UACGAAGGGGGCUAGCGUUGUUCGGAAUCACUGGGCGUAAAGCGCACGUAGGCGGAUCGUUAAGUCGGGGGUGAAAUCCCUGGGCUCAACCCAGGAACUGCGUCCGAGACUGGGAGGCUAGAAUCCGGGAGAGGGAUGUGGAAUUCCAGGUGUAGCGGUGAAAUGCGUAGAUAUCUGGAGGAACAUCGGUGGCGAAGGCGGCAUCCUGGACCGGUAUUGACGCUGAGGCGCGAAAGCCAGGGGAGCAAACGGG
Molecule: ribosomal RNA, 253 nt
Filed under: uncultured bacterium
Lineage: Bacteria
Description: partial 16S ribosomal RNA
Rfam family: Bacterial small subunit ribosomal RNA
Source: RNAcentral